This 792-nucleotide ribosomal RNA is filed under the name Rhodobacteraceae bacterium ACEMC 18-10. RNAcentral's name for it is "bacterial SSU rRNA". It matches the Rfam family "Bacterial small subunit ribosomal RNA", at positions 46 to 884 of the family's 1533-position model. The record is from RNAcentral. Lineage: Bacteria; Pseudomonadati; Pseudomonadota; Alphaproteobacteria; Rhodobacterales; Paracoccaceae.
GCCUACACAUGCAAGUCGAGCGCAGUCCUUCGGGACCGAGCGGCGGACGGGUUAGUAACGCGUGGGAACAUACCCUUUUCUACGGAAUAGCCUCGGGAAACUGAGAGUAAUACCGUAUAAGCCCUUCGGGGGAAAGAUUUAUCGGGAAAGGAUUGGCCCGCGUUAGAUUAGAUAGUUGGUGGGGUAAUGGCCUACCAAGUCUACGAUCUAUAGCUGGUUUUAGAGGAUGAUCAGCAACACUGGGACUGAGACACGGCCCAGACUCCUACGGGAGGCAGCAGUGGGGAAUCUUAGACAAUGGGCGCAAGCCUGAUCUAGCCAUGCCGCGUGUGUGAUGAAGGUCUUAGGAUCGUAAAGCACUUUCGCCAGGGAUGAUAAUGACAGUACCUGGUAAAGAAACCCCGGCUAACUCCGUGCCAGCAGCCGCGGUAAUACGGAGGGGGUUAGCGUUGUUCGGAAUUACUGGGCGUAAAGCGUACGUAGGCGGAUCAGAAAGUUAGGGGUGAAAUCCCGAGGCUCAACCUCGGAACUGCCUCUAAAACUCCUGGUCUUGAGUUCGAGAGAGGUGAGUGGAAUUCCAAGUGUAGAGGUGAAAUUCGUAGAUAUUUGGAGGAACACCAGUGGCGAAGGCGGCUCACUGGCUCGAUACUGACGCUGAGGUACGAAAGUGUGGGGAGCAAACAGGAUUAGAUACCCUGGUAGUCCACACCGUAAACGAUGAAUGCCAGUCGUCGGGCAGUAUACUGUUCGGUGACACACCUAACGGAUUAAGCAUUCCGCCUGGGGAGUACG